RNAcentral lists this ribosomal RNA (401 nucleotides) under uncultured bacterium. RNAcentral describes it as "partial 16S ribosomal RNA". It matches the Rfam family "Bacterial small subunit ribosomal RNA", at positions 360 to 776 of the family's 1533-position model. The record is from RNAcentral.
AAUAUUGCACAAUGGGGGAAACCCUGAUGCAGCAACGCCGCGUGAGUGACGAAGGCCUUCGGGUUNUAAAGCUCUGUCUUCACUGANGAACAAAUGACGGUAAGUGAGGAGGAAGCCACGGCUAACUACGUGCCAGCAGCCGCGGUAAUACGUAGGUGGCAAGCGUUGUCCGGAAUUAUUGGGCGUAAAGGAUGCGUAGGCGGUCUUUUAAGUGAGAUGUGAAAUACCUUGGCUUAACUCAGGGAGUGCAUUCCAAACUGGGAGACUAGAGUGCAGGAGAGGAAAGUGGAAUUCCCAGUGUAGCGGUGAAAUGCGUAGAGAUUGGGAGGAACACCAGUGGCGAAGGCGACUUUCUGGACUGUAACAGACGCUGAGGCAUGAAAGCGUGGGGAGCAAACAGG